GGUGAGUAACACGUGGGCAACCUGCCCUUCAGUCAGGAAUAACCCCGCGAAAGCGGGGCUAAUACCGGAUGAUGUCCUCUGGGGGCAUCCUUGGGGGACCAAAGGGGGCGAGCGAAAGCGGCUCCCGCUGACGGAUGGGCCUGCGGCUGAUUAGCUAGUUGGUGGGGUAGCGGCCUACCAAGGCGACGAUCAGUAGCCGACCUGAGAGGGUGACCGGCCACACUGGGACUGAGACACGGCCCAGACUCCUACGGGAGGCAGCAGUGGGGAAUAUUGCGCAAUGGGCGAAAGCCUGACGCAGCGACGCCGCGUGGGUGAUGAAGGCCUUCGGGUCGUAAAACCCUGUCGGGUGGAACGAAUCUCCGUUCCUCUAAUACAGGAGCGGAUUGACGGUACCACCGAAGGAAGCCCCGGCUAACUACGUGCCAGCAGCCGCGGUAAUACGUAGGGGGCGAGCGUUGUUCGGAUUUACUGGGCGUAAAGAGCGCGUAGGCGGUUCGAUGAGUCGGAGGUGAAAUCCCUCGGCUUAACCGAGGACCCGCGUCCGAUACUGUCGAACUUGAGUGCAGGAGAGGAGAGCGGAAUUCCCAGUGUAGCGGUGAAAUGCGUAGAUACUGGGAGGAACACCGGUGGCGAAGGCGGCUCUCUGGACUGUCACUGACGCUGAGGCGCGAAAGCUAGGGGAGCAAACGGGAUUAGAUACCCCGGUAGUCCUAGCCGUAAACGAUGGGCACUAGGUGUGGGAGGUAUCGACCCCUUCCGUGCCGCAGCUAACGCAUUAAGUGCCCCGCCUGGGGAGUACGGCCGCAAGGUU
RNAcentral lists this ribosomal RNA (814 nucleotides) under uncultured bacterium. RNAcentral describes it as "bacterial SSU rRNA". It matches the Rfam family "Bacterial small subunit ribosomal RNA", at positions 105 to 895 of the family's 1533-position model. The record is from RNAcentral.